GGAUCAUUACCGAGUUAUCUAAACUCCAAACCCAUGUGAACUUACCCCGGUUGCCUCGGCGGGAACGCCUUCAGGUCAGUACGCGGUGACACAGCUUACCCUGUACUUACCCUGUAAGAGCCUACCCUCCAGCUACUCUGUAGCGGGGGCCCGCCAGAGGAUCAAAUCAAACUCUUUUUCUCGUGGCACUCUGAAUAUUACGAUUUAAUAAGUCAAAACUUUCAACAACGGAUCUCUUGGUUCUGGCAUCGAUGAAGAACGCAGCGAAAUGCGAUAAGUAAUGUGAAUUGCAGAAUUCAGUGAAUCAUCGAAUCUUUGAACGCACAUUGCGCCCACUAGUAUUCUGGUGGGCAUGCCUGUUCGAGCGUCAUUUCGACCAUUAAGCCCUGUUGCUUAGUAUUGGGAAUCUACUGUAGCAGUAGUUCCUGAAAGCUAGUGGCGGAGUCACGGCGUGCUCUCAGCGUAGUAAUAUCUUCUCGCUCGUGAAUAGCCUUGGCCCCAGCCAUAAACCUUUUAUAAUAUCCAAUGGUUGACCUCGGAUCAGGUAGGAAUACCCGCUGAACUUAAGCAUAUCAAUAAGCGGAGGAAAAGAAACCAACAGGGAUUCCCCUAGUAACGGCGAGUGAAGCGGGAACAGCUCAAAUUUGAAAUCUGGCCUUCUGGUCCGAGUUGUAAUUUGUAGAGGUAGAGUCUUAGUCUGGUGCCUUCCGAGUUCCCUGGAACGGGACGCCUUAGAGGGUGAGAGCCCCGUACGGUUGGUUACCAGUCUAUUGUGAUUCGCCUUCGACGAGUCGAGUAGUUUGGGAAUGCUGCUCUAAAUGGGAGGUAAAUUUCUUCUAAAGCUAAAUACCGGCCAGAGACCGAUAGCGCACAAGUAGAGUGAUCGAAAGAUGAAAAGCACUUUGAAAAGAGGGUUAAAUAGCACGUGAAAUUGUUGAAAGGGAAGCACUUAUGACCAGACUUUUUCUUGGCGGAUCAUCCGGUGUUCUCACCGGUGCACUUCGCCAGGUUUAGGCCAGCGUCGAUUUCCGCAGGGGGAUAAAGGCUUCGGGAAUGUGACUCCCUCCGGGGAGUGUUAUAGCCCGUUGCGUAAUACCCUUGCGGGGAUCGAGGU
RNAcentral lists this ribosomal RNA (1114 nucleotides) under Xylariomycetidae sp. genotype 229. Its description in RNAcentral is "eukaryotic LSU rRNA". The stretch from base 531 to 1114 matches the Rfam family "Eukaryotic large subunit ribosomal RNA", at positions 1 to 594 of the family's 3401-position model. Lineage: Eukaryota; Fungi; Ascomycota; Sordariomycetes. The record is from RNAcentral.